This 458-nucleotide ribosomal RNA is filed under the name uncultured bacterium. Its description in RNAcentral is "partial 16S ribosomal RNA". It matches the Rfam family "Bacterial small subunit ribosomal RNA", at positions 338 to 795 of the family's 1533-position model. The record is from RNAcentral.
CCUACGGGUGGCAGCAGUGAGGAAUAUUGGUCAAUGGGCGAGAGCCUGAACCAGCCAAGUCGCGUGAAGGAGUACUGCCCUAUGGGUUGUAAACCUCUUUUGUCUGGGAGCAAAAGCCGGACGUGUCCGGCUGUGAUAGUACCCUAAUGAAAAUCAUCGGCUAACUCCGGUCCAACAGCCGCGGUAAUACGGGGGAUGCGAGCUUUAUCCGGUUUUAUUGGGUUAAAAGGGUUCGCAGGCGGAUUUUUAAGUCAGCGGUAAAAUCGUGGGGCUCAACCCCAUCAAGCCGUUGAAACUGGGGAUCUAGAGUGUGCGAGAGGUAUGCGGAAUGCGUGGUGUAGCGGUGAAAUGCAUAGAUAUCACGCAGAACCCCGAUUGCGAAGGCAGCAUACCGGUGCACAACUGACGCUCAGGCACGAAAGCGUGGGUAUCGAACAGGAUUAGAUACCCUGGUAGUC